Long non-coding RNA from Mastomys coucha (southern multimammate mouse), 1038 nucleotides. RefSeq lists it as uncharacterized. Lineage: Eukaryota; Metazoa; Chordata; Mammalia; Rodentia; Muridae. The record is from RefSeq and is a predicted model, not a curated record. The transcript has 2 exons.
AGUCCUGACUUCCUCUGGUGAUCAACAGCAAUGUGGAAGUAUGACAAAUCAUCACUGUGGAGUAGCCCCUGAAGCCUUUCCCAACUGCCAGUGGUCACUAGACAUGCUGUAUUUAUAUAUUUUUGCAAAGCUGCCCUUACAAACCCACAAGGAAGGGAUGAAGUGGACAGACAACAUGAGCAGUGGCUAAGAGAGAAAGAAACAAAAUGUAUCUCAAGAAACAAGCCAGAUUGACACCGGCUGGCUCCUCACUACUUCAAGGGAGCUGUGGACACGUCCUGUGUCAGUCUGUGGAUAGUAGGAGCCAUUGCUGUUUCACUCUCAUGCUUACAGCCUCUUGGACUCAGCUACAGUUUGCCUCCCAAAAUCCAAGGUCACCACUGCACCACUGAACUAUGUCCCCCAGGUUUACCAUCAUAGAGAAUGGACAAGAGGUGGUCCCACAUAUGCAUGCCAACAGAGUCUGGCAUUAUAGGUUUGUUGUAUUGGAUCUGUGAUUUUUUGGGGGGAGAUAGUGUUCUUAAAGAGGCAAUCAAAUUAAAAACAAGACCAUCCAGUAGACUCUAAUUCAAAAUGACUAUGCCCUUUCAAAAGGGGAGUUUUGUGGCUAGGGUAUUUUUUAGUGGUGGAGAGCUUGCCCAGCAUACAAGGCCCUAUGUUUGAUCCUCAGCACCAUAAAAGGGGUAGGGGAGAUUUGAACCCAGAGUUGUGUGCACAGGACAUCCUGUGAACAUUAUGGCAGAGGGAGCAGGAGCUCCAUGGAUUGUCAGAGUGUACAGCAAAGUCUACAAGUAUAGGAAGGGCCUGGAACACAUUUUUCCUCAGGCUUUUAGUGGAGCCAGCCUGCCCUAAGCCAAUCUCUCUUCUCUCUGUAUAGUAACCACAGCAAACCAAGACAAAUGGAAAACACAGAGAACUGAAGAUAAGCACCGUUAGCAUUCCAGAUCAAUAACUUCCACUGGCUCCUUGUGAGCAAGAAGCCUCAGUAGGUAACUUCUGACAGGAGGAACAGGUGCCAACUUUUGCUCUGUUCACACA